Molecule: long non-coding RNA, 486 nt
Organism: Biomphalaria glabrata
Lineage: Eukaryota; Metazoa; Mollusca; Gastropoda; Planorbidae
Exons: 4
Source: RefSeq, a predicted model, not a curated record
UUCCGAUGUUCAAUCUAUUUACUCAAUGCUUAUUUUAUUAUUUACUUUCAACAUGUGCCAAUAAGACCAGCAACAAGCGGCGAUUCUGAAAGAAAUGUUUCUACCGAGUUGUGUCCAACACCCAGAGCGCCGUUAAAUGGAGAUGUAUCCUGUGAAUAUUCUGAUGCAGUACAAAUCAACAUUUUCUGUACGGCCACAUGUAAACUUGGCUACAAGUUUAAUGGUAUAGAUGCCAAGGACUUAGUGUAUAUUUGUGAUGUGACAACUGGCUUCUACGACGACGUAAAUAUACCUAAUUGCAUCCCGAUAGCACGGCCUACGUUGGUGCCGCCACUGGGAUAAGGGAGAGAUGAACACACAGAGAUACAAUGAGGCGCCUCAAGCUGAAACAUGUCAACAUAAAUCUUCAAUUUCUUUGAUAAUAAUUAUAAAUCUUUUAAAGUCUUAGACUUAUUCAAACAUGCAUAAGUAAGCAUUAUUUCGAUU